AGUGAACGCUGGCGGCGUGCCUAAUACAUGCAAGUCGAACGGAAUUUAAAAGAGCUUGCUCUUUUAAAUUUAGUAGCGCACGGGUGAGUAAUAUAUAGCUAAUCUGCCCCUUGCUGGAGGACAACAGUUAGAAAUGACUGCUAAUACUCCAUACUCCUUUUUACCAUAAGAUAAAUCGGGAAAGAAUUUCGGCAAGGGAUGAGACUAUAUCGUAUCAGCUAGUCGGUGGGGUAACGGCCUACCGAGGCUAUGACGCGUAACUGGUCUGAGAGGAUGAUCAGUCACAUUGGAACUGAGACACGGUCCAAACUCCUACGGGAGGCAGCAGUAGGGAAUAUUGCGCAAUGGGGGAAACCCUGACGCAGCAACGCCGCGUGGAGGAUGACACUUUUCGGAGCGUAAACUCCUUUUGUUAGGGAAGAAUAAGACGGUA
RNAcentral lists this ribosomal RNA (433 nucleotides) under Campylobacter gracilis. RNAcentral's name for it is "bacterial SSU rRNA". It matches the Rfam family "Bacterial small subunit ribosomal RNA", at positions 29 to 459 of the family's 1533-position model. The record is from RNAcentral. Lineage: Bacteria; Pseudomonadati; Campylobacterota; Epsilonproteobacteria; Campylobacterales; Campylobacteraceae.